Molecule: long non-coding RNA, 2304 nt
Filed under: Dermacentor andersoni
Lineage: Eukaryota; Metazoa; Arthropoda; Arachnida; Ixodida; Ixodidae
Description: uncharacterized LOC126544223
Source: RNAcentral
GAUUACUUUAUUGUGUAGUGUAAAGCUUAUGAAACCAUCAGCAACUAGUGAGUUGCUAACAUGCAUAUGCAUUUGUCACUAUACAGGUGGCACUCAGCUGUACCACUGCAGUUCUGCAGAAAUUGCCAGCACCAGCGGCUUUGCAACAGCUGUUUCACAGCAUGUCGGAGACAAUGCCUACGAAAUUAUUGGCCCUGAUGACGAGAGCCCUCAAGGGGCAAACGACAUCUCUGUUGCAGAAGUGAGCCCGAUACCACCUGAAGUUACCAUGACAGGUGGCACGGCAGCAAUAGAUACAGAGACGGCCGUGUCUACUGCAGCUGCAACAGUGUACGAGGCAAGCAGCAGUGUGUCAGCAUCAGCAGCAGUGUCAGAAGGAACCGCACCAGGCCUGGUACAGCAACAUGUGUGCUAUCACUGUGACUUUUUUUGUAGUGCAUACAACUCAUUUGCUCAACAUACAAAAGCUUUUCACCACGACUGUGAGCCAGUGUUCUUGUGCAGCAAGUGCAAGACUAAGUUAAGUGUUAUAACACAGUACAAGCAUCACUUUAAGAUAUGAAAACAUAUUACAGUUGUUGCCUCCCCAGCCAGCCCACAUAGCGACAACAAUGUGGAACACAUGGUGGGACACACAUCUUCUCCAUUAGAAGAUAGUAGAGACUGUCAGUGUUGUUGUUAGAUUAACUGGUCUUUGUAGGCAACUAGAAGGACAACACAGGUGUCAUAAGAUUGUUGUUUAUGUUGUUGAAGAGGUAAAAAAGAAGUUUGAUGCAGCUGAAGUGCCAACUGAUAUUGAGCAAAUCAAAAACAACCACCUGAGAAAGCAACACUAUCGAAAUUUGGGUAUCUAUGUGCCGCCGACUCUGGUAAGGAUGGCAUAGGACAGAAGUGUGUUGAAAAUCACACACACUGCUGUUCCAUCACUGGUCACAGUGAGCAAUGACUUGUAGGGCAAGAGAGUCAACUGAAACGAACAUUAUGGCAUAGUGUCAUGCUCCCAUGUGACCACUUUCCAUGUUAUUUUGCAUGAUACAGCUCAACCUCCAGAAACGAGACUGCAACUUGUCUGUAAAAAGCUUUCACAAAAAAUUAUUCAUAACACUAUUAACACAGCAGUACCUUCUUUUUUUGUGGGUUCGAGGUUCCCGGGUGUCCAUUAAUGCAAAAAUUGCGGAAACAAAGAACAUGUGCCGUACUUGCACCUUUUUAACACGUACGAGGGGGACAGAACUUUUCUAGUCAUGCAUCUUCAUCAUACUAUCAAGUUUUUAAAUGCCUUUUAUAAUUAUUAUUACCAGUUAUAUCUGAGUGCAUUGUAUGCAUUUAGCAGGUGUAAAAUCAGGUCAGUUGGAUCAGAUGCCUUAGCUGCAAGAGAGCCCUAUAUUCAAGAAAUUUGAAUGAAAAUAAUUACAUUAGAGACGCAGUCUUUCUGCACUUUAUUGCGUGUGGUUUAAGCAUUGCUCAAUACUUUUGUGGAUGGCAGUUUCAACCGGCACAGCACUGCGCUUUGUCACGGUCAAGUGUCUUCAAAGCGGUGUUUACCAUUUGUGUUGAUCUGUUUGUGUAUUCAUAGAGCAAGUUUUUAAUUUAUUUUUUUUCCGCAUUCUUGUGCUUGCACUAAGCUUGUAUAAGGCAGUUACAAAAUGGGCGUCACUAUAACGAACUGUUCUGUUGAGCUUACACUUGCAAAUAAUAGUGUUCAGACGGCCGCACUUCUAUGUAGGUGCACCGAUAGCUUUGUGCAUGUUCUCAUGUUUGUGUAAAGCUUAUAUAAGCUAGUUACAAAAUGUAUGUCACUAAGCAUUGUGAUAUUCUUUAAAGAACUGCUUGGUUGGUUUUACACUUGUGAAUUAGUAUUGAGGCGGUGGUAUUUCCAUGUAGGCCCACUGCUAGCUUUCUGUGUGCUCACAUGUUUGUAUGAAGCUUUUACAAGGGAGUUACAGCAUGUACGUCACUAAGCGCUGUGAUAUUUUUAAAGAACUGCUUUGUUGGUUUUACACCUGUGAGUAAUAGUACUCGGGUGGCACUAGUCAUGUGUAGGUACACAGGGACCAUUUGUAUACAUUAUGCUCAUGUAAAGCAGUUACAAAGUGUAUGUCACUAAUCACUGUGAUAUUUGUUGAAGAAUUGCUGUGAUGGUUUUACACAUGUGAGUAAUAGUGGUCAGGACACAGUACUUGCGAUGUAUAGUUGAACUUAUACAGUGUCAAGACAUGGGUUGUAUACGUACCAAAAGAAAUGUAUGUCAUUAUAUUGUUGUGAUUAUUACUGUUUGGAUUUUAUUAAACUCUAAUAACAUUU